This 209-nucleotide long non-coding RNA is filed under the name Lathyrus oleraceus (garden pea). RNAcentral describes it as "Pisum sativum (pea) long non-coding RNA (PSAT_LNC034006)". The record is from RNAcentral. Lineage: Eukaryota; Viridiplantae; Streptophyta; Magnoliopsida; Fabales; Fabaceae.
UCGAAUCUAUCUUUCCAAUGUUGAGCAACUUCUCUAGCAUCUUUUGCUUCUUGACAUUUCUUGGCCCAAGUCGUAGGUGUGACUCGAGAAGCUUCAAGGGCUCUUCCCUUAAGUCGGCGCUCGUGCUCGGCUUGGGUCUCAGCAUUGUGGAGGGAGAUAGUGAGAUCGUGUACCUUAGCCUCCAAUAUCUCUCUAACUUAUUUUUUCUC